Long non-coding RNA from Gopherus evgoodei (Goodes thornscrub tortoise), 609 nucleotides. RefSeq lists it as uncharacterized. Lineage: Eukaryota; Metazoa; Chordata; Testudines; Testudinidae. The record is from RefSeq and is a predicted model, not a curated record. The transcript has 3 exons.
UCCAGAGGGUGGACAUCUAGGAAUAUUCAAAACCAGGAAUGCGCUGACAUCAAAAUACUAUUGGCCAGGGAUGACAAAAGACAUUGCCAAUUGGGUUGCACAGUGUCUGACUUGCCAGAAAGAGGGAAAGCAAUCAAAGCUGGAUACCACCUUGAAAAGCAUAGAGGUCACUCGGAUCUGGGAAUUGGUGGGAAUGGAUUUAAUAGGACCGUUUCCAGUAACAAAGAAUGGAUACCAGUACAUAGUUACAGCCAUAGAUUAUCUUUCAAGAUGGGUGGAAGCCUUUCCACUUAGAAAUAAGUCGUCAUCUGAGGUGGUAGAGAUCACGUUCACCAUGAUUCUUCGACGUGGAUGCCCACAGUGGAUACUGACAGAUCGUGGUGCAGAAUUCAAUAAUACGGUAAUGAUUUCUUUUUUUCUGGUUAUUUGUACUUUUUAUUCAAAGUCACUGUCAGGUCACCCAUAGAUCUCAAACAACCACCAUCUUUUCUUUUUAUAUAUAUAAACUGCUGUUGGUCCCCAUCAGUGUUGCUAUAAAAUUAUUUUUCUUCAUAUCUAACAAAGAAACGAACAAGUACUUGUUUCCAAAACAAAUAUGAGAAGACAUGC